CCUUUGACGUUAGCGGCGGACGGGUGAGUAACACGUGGGUAACCUACCUAUAAGACUGGGAUAACUUCGGGAAACCGGAGCUAAUACCGGAUAAUAUUUCGAACCGCAUGGUUCGAUAGUGAAAGGUGGUUUUGCUAUCACUUAUAGAUGGACCCGCGCCGUAUUAGCUAGUUGGUAAGGUAACGGCUUACCAAGGCGACGAUACGUAGCCGACCUGAGAGGGUGAUCGGCCACACUGGAACUGAGACACGGUCCAGACUCCUACCGGGAGGCAGCAGAC
This 280-nucleotide ribosomal RNA is filed under the name uncultured Staphylococcus sp. RNAcentral's name for it is "partial 16S ribosomal RNA". It matches the Rfam family "Bacterial small subunit ribosomal RNA", at positions 83 to 354 of the family's 1533-position model. The record is from RNAcentral. Lineage: Bacteria; Bacillati; Bacillota; Bacilli; Caryophanales; Staphylococcaceae.